RNAcentral lists this ribosomal RNA (478 nucleotides) under uncultured bacterium. RNAcentral describes it as "partial 16S ribosomal RNA". It matches the Rfam family "Bacterial small subunit ribosomal RNA", at positions 28 to 523 of the family's 1533-position model. The record is from RNAcentral.
GACGAACGCUGGCGGCGUGCUUAACACAUGCAAGUCGAACGGUAAGGCCCUUCGGGGUACACGAGUGGCGAACGGGUGAGUAACACGUGGGUGAUCUGCCCUGCACUUCGGGAUAAGCCUGGGAAACUGGGUCUAAUACCGGAUAGGACUCCUGGCUUCAUGGUUGGUGGUGGAAAGCUUUUGCGGUGUGGGAUGGGCCCGCGGCCUAUCAGCUUGUUGGUGGGGUGAUGGCCUACCAAGGCGACGACGGGUAGCCGGCCUGAGAGGGUGACCGGCCACACUGGGACUGAGAUACGGCCCAGACUCCUACGGGAGGCAGCAGUGGGGAAUAUUGCACAAUGGGCGCAAGCCUGAUGCAGCGACGCCGCGUGAGGGAUGACUGCCUUCGGGUUGUAAACCUCUUUCAGCACCGACGAAGCGCAAGUGACGGUAGGUGCAGAAGAAGGACCGGCCAACUACGUGCCAGCAGCCGCCGUAA